GGCUGGAAGGAGCUGGGCAUCCGGCCUGAGGCGCAGCGGUCGCGUUAGUUCGGCCCAGUGGCGGCACCGCUGCUUCACACGCGUUUGCCGGGAGAUGCGGCCGCUUCGUCCUCUGCAGUCAAGAUGCUGGGCGCGUCGAGGACUGGGAUUUCAAAUAUGCAUGCAUUAGAGAAUGAUUUUUUCAAUUCUCCCCCAAGAAAAACUGUUCAGUUUGGUGGAACUGUGACAGAAGUCUUGCUGAAGUACAAAAAGAGUGAAACGAAUGACUUUGAGUUGUUGAAGAACCAGCUGUUAGAUCCAGACAUAAAGGAUGACCAGAUCAUCAACUGGCUGCUAGAAUUCCGUUCUUCUAUCAUGUACUUGGCAAAAGACUUUGAGCAACUUAUCAGUAUUAUAUUGAGAUUGCCUUGGUUGAAUACAAGUCAAACAGUAGUGGAAGAGUAUUUGGCUUUUCUUGGUAAUCUUGUAUCAGCACAGACUGUUUUCCUCAGACCGUGUCUCAGCAUGAUUGCUUCCCAUUUUGUGCCUCCCCGAGUGAUCAUUAAGGAAGGCGAUGUAGAUGUUUCAGAUUCUGAUGAUGAAGAUGAUAAUAUUCCUGCAAAUUUUGACACAUGUCACAGAGCCUUGCAAAUAAUAGCAAGAUAUGUACCAUCGAAUGUUACGUUCAUAACUUACUAAGGAUUAGUGUAUAUUUUCCAACCUUGAGGCAUGAAAUUCUGGAGCUUAUUAUUGAAAAACUACUCAAGUUGGAUGUGAAUGCAUCCCGGCAGGGUAUUGAAGAUGCUGAAGAAACAGCAUAUCAAACUUGUGGUGGGACAGAUUCCAUGGAAGGAUUGUUUAAUAUGGGAUUCGCAGAGGCAUUUUUGGAACAUCUUUGGAAAAAAUUGCAGGAUCCAAGUAAUCCUGCCAUCAUCAGGCAGGCUGCUGGAAAUUAUAUUGGAAGCUUUUUGGCAAGAGCUAAAUUUAUUCCUCUUAUGAUUCGGGAACAAAGGCAUUCUGCGAUGUUGCUCUCCAUGGACCAUUUUACUCAGCCUGCCAAGCUGUGUUCUACACCUUUGUUUUUAGACACAAGCAGCUUUUGAGCGGAAACCUGAAAGAAGGUUUGCAGUAUCUUCAGAGUCUGAAUUUUGAGCGGAUAGUGAUGAGCCAGCUAAAUCCCCUGAAGAUUUGCCUGCCCUCAGUGGUUAACUUUUUGGCUGCAAUCACAAAUAAGUACCAGCUCGUCUUCUGCUACACCAUCAUUGAGAGGAACAAUCACCAGAUGCUGCCAGUCAUUAGGAGUACCACUGGAGGAGACUCAGUGCAGACCUGCACAAACCCACUGGACACCUUCUUCCCCUUUGAUCCCUGUGUGCUGAAGAGGUCAAAGAAAUUCAUUGAUCCUAUUUAUCAGGUAUGGGAAGACAUGAGUGCUGAAGAGCUACAGGAGUUCAAGAAACCCAUGAAAAAGUUGUUUUGGAGAAUCAUGUAGCAACAGAUGAAGACGAACCUGCUUUGAAAUGCCAGCGACUAGAAAUCAAUUGCCAGGAUCCAUCUAUAAAGUCAUUCCUGUAUUCCAUCAACCAGACAAUCUGCUUGCGGUUGGAUAGCAUUGAAGCCAAAUUGCAAGCCCUGGAGGCUACUUGCAAAUCCUUAGAAGAAAAGCUGGAUCUGGUCACGAACAAGCAGCACAGCCCCAUCCAGGUUCCCAAGGUUGCCGGCUCCCCUCUCAGGGCAACCCAGACGUGCAACAAAGUGCGAUGGUAAGAACAGACCAGGGUGCCGGGGCCUUCAGGUCACUCGGGGAGAAGCGCGUCACCUCCUCGCCCAGGCCCGCAGCUUAGUGGCUCAGUUUGCUGGAGAUGCGCAGUGUCUGCCUCAGCAGUCUCAGCAGUUUCUAACUAAAGCUGACUUUAGUUAGACUGAAACCGAACACACGGCAUCCUGCCAGGAUGACCUGAAGUCAUCCUCAGCUUUCCUUUCCACAUAAAGCCGGCCCAUACACCUUUUCUUUAGAACUAACCCACCAGAUCUUAGAAGAUGUACACGUGCUUCUUUCCUUUUUCCUACUCUACCUGGCUAGUCUUUAGAUAUGUUUUUCUUCGUAUGUGGUGUUUAUACAUUUCACAUGAAUAUAUCAAACUUUUCAUUCAAA
RNAcentral lists this small RNA (2134 nucleotides) under Pan troglodytes (chimpanzee). RNAcentral describes it as "processed transcript". The record is from RNAcentral. Lineage: Eukaryota; Metazoa; Chordata; Mammalia; Primates; Hominidae.